GACGAACGCUGGCGGCGUGCCUAAUACAUGCAAGUAGAACGCACAGUUUAUACCGUAGCUUGCUACACCAUAAACUGUGAGUUGCGAACGGGUGAGUAACGCGUAGGUAACCUGCCUGGUAGCGGGGGAUAACUAGUGGAAACGAUAGCUAAUACCGCAUAAUAUUGAUUAUUGCAUGAUAAUUGAUUGAAAGAUGCUAUUGCAUCACUACCAGAUGGACCUGCGUUGUAUUAGCUAGUAGGUGAGGUAACGGCUCACCUAGGCGACGAUACAUAGCCGACCUGAGAGGGUGGUCGGCCACACUGGGACUGAGACACGGCCCAGACUCCUACGGGAGGCAGCAGUAGGGAAUCGUCGGCAAUGGACGGAAGUCUGACCGAGCAACGCCGCGUGAGUGAAGAAGGUUUUCGGAUCGUAAAGCUCUGUUGUAAGAGAAGAACGGGUGUGAGAGUGGAAAGUUCACACUGUGACGGUAUCUUACCAGAAAGGGACGGCUAACUACGUG
Molecule: ribosomal RNA, 505 nt
Filed under: uncultured bacterium
Lineage: Bacteria
Description: partial 16S ribosomal RNA
Rfam family: Bacterial small subunit ribosomal RNA
Source: RNAcentral